ACUGAAUAUGGCCGAAUGUCAUUAGCAGCUAUUGUAUUUGUAGCAUGUUUUCCUCCAAAAUGACCGCCAAUCUUUGUCAAGGGAUUGAUUGCAACAAUACAGGGUGAACAGAUUUGAAAUUGCUCUCAUUUUCGCAAAACAGCUAUUAGUAUCCAGUUUUUGAUGUACGAAGCGCUCGUGUUUUCAUACAUUGUUUUCUCGUGUUUGGAUAUCCAUUGUUUUCUCGUGUUUGGAUAUUGUUUGCAAAUCUCGUUGUUCA
Non-coding RNA from Paramuricea clavata, 259 nucleotides. The record is from the annotation of a GenBank genome assembly. Lineage: Eukaryota; Metazoa; Cnidaria; Anthozoa; Malacalcyonacea; Plexauridae.